AGAUGUCUCUUUCUGUUUUGUUACCGUCAAACAGGAGAACUGGUGUUUGCACAGGAAUUUUUCGGUGGUUGCCUAUAGCAACGUGACUCUCAAUCACAGUGUACUUGUCCUCCAGUGUUGUCUUCUGUUUCAUCAAUAUGUCAUCCGGCUAACGGGUUAAUUAGCUGAAUGAAGUGCUCCGCGGAGGAAAUGUCAGGCUCACUGGCUGCAGGUUGACUUCCCGAGUGGGAGGUUAAAGGUCGACGGCAGGUUUGCUGAACCUUUUCCCUCUCACCUUUAUCUAAAUGUCAUCCAGGAACCAUUAGCGUGGGCUCCACCGGGGGACACUUCAUGUGGCGGACUGAAGGCAAGAUGUCCUUGCCGCCGCUGAUGGACCCAGCGACCCCUGAGACACUCCUGAACGCUCAACCAGUGUGAAACCUCCAGGGUUCAAUGGGACGCCAAGAGAAGUCCUCACUUCCUGUUUCUGAGGGUGCUCCGAGAUACUGAGGCGUUCAAUACAUCUGGGGGAAAUGGUCAAAGGAGACACUCAUCUGGAAAUCCAGGGGCCGGAUGCAUGAAACUGUGUUUAUUGGUAGACUCACUACUACUGACAGUUUUAUUUAGUCUGAAAUUUAUUUAUUUUUUAGUCUUGUUAUAAAGAUGUUUUGAUUCUGUGAAAGCUUUAUUUUCUUGUCUUUUUUUGCUUUAUUGAGUUUAU
Long non-coding RNA from Thunnus maccoyii (southern bluefin tuna), 700 nucleotides. RefSeq lists it as uncharacterized. Lineage: Eukaryota; Metazoa; Chordata; Actinopteri; Scombriformes; Scombridae. The transcript has 3 exons. The record is from RefSeq and is a predicted model, not a curated record.